ACUCCUACGGGAGGCAGCAGUGGGGAAUCUUAGACAAUGGGGGAAACCCUGAUCUAGCCAUGCCGCGUGAGUGAUGAAGGCCCUAGGGUCGUAAAGCUCUUUCAGCUGUGAAGAUAAUGACGGUAGCAGCAGAAGAAACCCCGGCUAACUCCGUGCCAGCAGCCGCGGUAAUACGGAGGGGGUUAGCGUUGUUCGGAAUUACUGGGCGUAAAGCGCGCGUAGGCGGAUUAGUCAGUCAGAGGUGAAAUCCCGGGGCUCAACCCCGGAACGCCUUUGAUACUUGCCUAGUCUUGAGUUCGAGAGAGGUGAGUGGAAUUCCGAGUGUAGAGUGAAAUUCGUAGAUAUUUCGGAGGAACACCAGUGGCGAAGGCGGC
This 374-nucleotide ribosomal RNA is filed under the name uncultured bacterium. RNAcentral's name for it is "bacterial SSU rRNA". It matches the Rfam family "Bacterial small subunit ribosomal RNA", at positions 335 to 725 of the family's 1533-position model. The record is from RNAcentral.